Molecule: ribosomal RNA, 1071 nt
Filed under: Listeria monocytogenes
Lineage: Bacteria; Bacillati; Bacillota; Bacilli; Caryophanales; Listeriaceae
Description: partial 23S ribosomal RNA
Rfam family: Bacterial large subunit ribosomal RNA
Source: RNAcentral
UCCAGAGUGGAUCCUGAGUACGGCGGAACACGUGAAAUUCCGUCGGAAUCCGGGAGGACCAUCUCCCAAGGCUAAAUACUCCCUAGUGACCGAUAGUGAACCAGUACCGUGAGGGAAAGGUGAAAAGCACCCCGGAAGGGGAGUGAAACAGUUCCUGAAACCGUGUGCCUACAAGUAGUUAGAGCCCGUUAAUGGGUGAUAGCGUGCCUUUUGUAGAAUGAACCGGCGAGUUACGAUUUGUUGCAAGGUUAAGCGGAAAAAGCGGAGCCGUAGCGAAAGCGAGUCUGAAUAGGGCGCAUAAGUAACAGGUCGUAGACCCGAAACCAGGUGAUCUACCCAUGUCCAGGAUGAAGGUAAGGUAAUACUUACUGGAGGUCCGAACCCACGCACGUUGAAAAGUGCGGGGAUGAGGUGUGGGUAGCGGAGAAAUUCCAAUCGAACUUGGAGAUAGCUGGUUCUCUCCGAAAUAGCUUUAGGGCUAGCCUCGAGGUAAAGAGUCAUGGAGGUAGAGCACUGUUUGGACUAGGGGCCCUUCUCGGGUUACCGAAUUCAGAUAAACUCCGAAUGCCAUGUACUUAUACUCGGGAGUCAGACUGCGAGUGAUAAGAUCCGUAGUCGAAAGGGAAACAGCCCAGACCACCAGUUAAGGUCCCCAAAUAUAUGUUAAGUGGAAAAGGAUGUGGGGUUGCUUAGACAACCAGGAUGUUGGCUUAGAAGCAGCCACCAUUGAAAGAGUGCGUAAUAGCUCACUGGUCGAGUGACCCCGCGCCGAAAAUGUACCGGGGCUAAACAUAUUACCGAAACUGUGGAUGAACCUCUUUAGAGGUUCGUGGUAGGAGAGCGUUCUAAGGGCGGUGAAGUCAGACCGGAAGGACUGGUGGAGCGCUUAGAAGUGAGAAUGCCGGUAUGAGUAGCGAAAGAAGGGUGAGAAUCCCUUCCACCGAAUAUCUAAGGUUUCCUGAGGAAGGCUCGUCCGCUCAGGGUUAGUCGGGACCUAAGCCGAGGCCGAUAGGCGUAGGCGAUGGACAACAGGUAGAGAUUCCUGUACCAGUGCUAAUUGUUUAACCGAUG